Molecule: long non-coding RNA, 896 nt
Organism: Papaver somniferum (opium poppy)
Lineage: Eukaryota; Viridiplantae; Streptophyta; Magnoliopsida; Ranunculales; Papaveraceae
Exons: 5
Source: RefSeq, a predicted model, not a curated record
AGCGCCAGUCUCCUCUUCUUCCCUAAACCUAUCGUUACCAUUACUUUCUUUCCAAUCCCACCACCACCAACACCACCACAAAUGCAACAUCUAGUUUUCAAAUCUUCAUCGUCGUCGCCGCCUCCGUAUCAAAAACAUAUAAAUCUAGAAAUGGAUUUAUUAUCUUCUUUCUCUUUUUUGAUUUGUAUUUUCCAGAUACAAAUCAAAGUUCAAGCUACGUCGAUUCCUAAAUUGGUGAUGGAGAUUAAAGGUGAUUUAGGAUUAUGAAAUUGGUGAGGGAGAUAGUGGAGGUUCUGGUUGUUGAGGCGGUGGUGGAGAUUUGGUGUAAUUUUGGUUGUUGGGAGAUGGUGGUGGUGGUGAUUUCUUGUGGCUGUGAAAGAAGAAGGGUAUUCAAAUGAUGUUGGCCUUUGUACAUAUUGGGAGGAUAGUGCCCAAAGAUUAUCUGAAGUAUUGACAUGAAUGAGGCCUUUGUACAUAUUGGGAGGAUAGUGCCCAAAGCUUAUCUGAAGUAUUGACAUGAAUGAGUUUCAGAGCUGGUCUUGGUGAAGAUGGAGAUACUCAAAGUUAGUGGCUAAUACAUAGCUUUCCUUGUAGCCACGCUAUGAAAAGGAAGUGUGGUUACUGUGGCAUGCUUACAUAUCAUAAUCUACAAACAUGACAAAGACCCCUAUGGGAUGCUCGUGCACCAACAUUCCCAAGGAGGGCUCAUAUUUCCAACUUGUAUAGGACUAUGUUCAACGUUUAACAUUUCUGAACUUGUUAUCUUUGUUUUGAUAUUUUUAUGAAGGUGGCAUGUUAUAUUUCAUUUUUCAGAUGUUCAAUGUUUUGAUAUGUUUUAAGUUUUUCCUUUUUUUGAACUUGUUAUGUUGCAAAUUUUUCUAAACACUGUUCUUUCA